RNAcentral lists this ribosomal RNA (574 nucleotides) under Histoplasma capsulatum. RNAcentral's name for it is "eukaryotic LSU rRNA". It matches the Rfam family "Eukaryotic large subunit ribosomal RNA", at positions 62 to 648 of the family's 3401-position model. The record is from RNAcentral. Lineage: Eukaryota; Fungi; Ascomycota; Eurotiomycetes; Onygenales; Ajellomycetaceae.
AAACCAACAGGGAUUGCCUCAGUAACGGCGAGUGAAGCGGCAAGAGCUCAAAUUUGAAAUCCGGCCCCCCUGGGGGCCUGAGUUGUAAUUUGCAGAGGAUGCUUCGGGCGCGACCGCGGUCCAAGUCCCCUGGAACGGGGCGUCGUAGAGGGUGAGAAUCCCGUCUCCGGCCGGCCGGUCUCGCCCGUGUGAAGCUCCUUCGACGAGUCGAGUUGUUUGGGAAUGCAGCUCCAAAUGGGUGGUAAAUUUCAUCUAAAGCUAAAUACUGGUCGGAGACCGAUAGCGCACAAGUAGAGUGAUCGAAAGAUGAAAAGCACUUUGAAAAGAGAGUUAAACAGCAUGUGAAAUUGUUGAAAGGGAAGCGCUUGCGACCAGAGUCGGCCGUGGGGGUUCAGCGGGCAUUCGUUGCCCGUGCAAUCCCCCGCGGCCGGGCCAGCGUCGGUUUCGACGGCCGGUCAAAGGCUCCCGGAAUGUGUCGCCUCUCGGGGCGUCUUAUAGCCGGGGGUGCAAUGCGGCCAGUCGGGACCGAGGAACGCGCUCCGGCACGGACGCUGGCUUAAUGGUCGUCAGCGAC